This 355-nucleotide long non-coding RNA is filed under the name Homo sapiens (human). RNAcentral describes it as "HSALNT0232187". Lineage: Eukaryota; Metazoa; Chordata; Mammalia; Primates; Hominidae. The record is from RNAcentral.
AGGAAGCUUCCAGGGUAAGCAGUUUAACAUGCUGGCUGUUAAAUACAUUUACCCAUCAUGCAAAGAAGGAUAACAGGAUGAUUAUAAGAUGGAGCUCGUUAAAUAACAAGAUUCUGGUUAAGUAAGAAGAUGCUGUUCUGGAAUUGUUAAAUGGAUAGGAAGAAAUCCUAUCCCUAAAUAGACUGUUAUGAUCACCUGCAGAGAACGAUGGAUUCCCCUAGCAAAACUUGGUUUGGAGACACUAAUGAUGGCACAAACAUACCAAGAAGGUAUGAAAAGACAUCAAGAAUAUAUAAAAAAUACACCAAGAAGGUAUGAAAUUCUCCUUAUUAUAUUGAAAUUAUGCAAUUUCAGA